Molecule: long non-coding RNA, 1041 nt
Organism: Schistocerca cancellata (South American locust)
Lineage: Eukaryota; Metazoa; Arthropoda; Insecta; Orthoptera; Acrididae
Exons: 4
Source: RefSeq, a predicted model, not a curated record
UUAGUCCAAAUCAGUUAUUCAGUUUGUUCGGCGUUCGUGGUGCCGACUGCCGAGAAUUGGUGAUGGUGAGUGUGGUAGAAAGUGCAUGUUCACGUUGUGGUUUCGAAUAUAUGUUUUUAGCAGUUGCUGGUUAAAGUUUUAUGGAAAUUGGUAGCUUAUUUUUCAAUUGCUAAACUUUGUCGAUGAUGAUUUAGCUGUGUACAUGGUUAGACCACUGACCACGUGUGUGAGGAAAUUGUCUAGGGCGGUCUGAGACACAUUUUAUACAUAGAGCUGAUUAUUUAAAUGCUCUCAGAUGGAAAAUAAUUUCUUUUCUUUCGUUUCAAGUGUCGUCGAAUGGUUAGCGCCCGUCGCCAUAGUUCCAUGGGGUUUUAUCCAGAGAAGAGAUCAUUGAGGCUUCGUGGUGAAGUGAAGCGAAAGCGUUUCACGCUACUUCACUUUUUAGCUACAAAGCUGGUACGAGUCAAGUGGUAAGAGACGCCGAUAGGCCUGGGUCAAGUGGGUGAAGAAGAAUCAUCCCCGCUUGUGACGAGAUACUUGUUUGCCAAUCUGGUUUCCCUAUACCAGCAUUCUGUCUUAUCUGCUACACUCCCAAGAUUUUUUUGAGCUGGUACAAGUCAAGGAAGAAGCUUCCAAGAAGUGGCAAAAUGAUCUGGGUUAUAAGUCAAUUGUGACCUCAAAAAAUUGAGACAUGACAAGGUUAUUGGAGCCCACUCAGAUACACGAAAUGCUGCACUGGCAACAUUUUUGCAAUUACGUCCAUUUAUAGAAGUGUCAUGGUUCAAUAUUUAUGCAGGAGACUACCAAAGGCUUGUCAAAUCUAUGCCACACAAAGUUGCUGCACUCCAGUGGGCAAAAGGUGUCACAUUGCAUUAGCACACAAAGAAGCUGCCAUGUAAAACACACAAGCGUUUAUGUAAGGGUGCUCGCACUGGUGCCUGCCAUCCUGAUAGUCAUUCAUUGUAGCCAAACUUCAAGGUUACCACCACAGAGCAGAUCAAUGAGAGAAUGUCGCAUUGGUCAGGGAACUAAUGUGAAAGG